This is a long non-coding RNA of Ornithodoros turicata, 494 nucleotides long. RefSeq lists it as uncharacterized. NCBI's taxonomy places the organism in Eukaryota, Metazoa, Arthropoda, Arachnida, Ixodida, Argasidae. The record is from RefSeq and is a predicted model, not a curated record. The transcript is spliced from 3 exons.
UCUCUUUGCCUUUUUACCGCAGUUAAGGAAAGCGCACCCAUAAACGCCCCAUUCUCUCGACGCAAACGUGAUCAGUUCGAAAAUAUCAACGGACCGAAAUUGAGGUACAAAAUCAAGGAGAGAGAGGAGAAAACUCAAAAUGGCACCGCUUUCCUUAUUCUUCCCCGUUCUGCUGGUUCUUCUCUCCUUACCUCAUUACUUUGCCGAGGAGAUUCAUUGGGAAUGUGUGCCACUCGAAAACGGCGACUGCGACUACUACGGUACGCUACUCAAGGAUGGCAGCAGCUACAACAAGGUGUACGAUUGGUGUGGUAUCGUGAAGUGCAACACCUCAGCCAGACUCGUCGAGAUCACCAAGUGUACAAUCCCUCCUCUCUGUCUAGAACCGGAGGGGGGUUUUUACCCAGAUUGUUGUGAGCACCUCAAAUGCAUCAACAGCUAACGACUGCGUUCGUUACGAAAAAUAGCACGCAAUAAAAAGUAUGAAAACCAGA